CCUACGGGAGGCAGCAGUGGGGAAUUUUGCGCAAUGGGGGCAACCCUGACGCAGCAACGCCGCGUGAGUGAUGAAGGCCUUCGGGUCGUAAAGCUCUGUCAGAGGGGAAGAAAUGCAGGUGGUGAACAACCAUUCUGUUUGACGGUACCCUCAAAGGAAGCAUCGGCUAACUCCGUGCCAGCAGCCGCGGUAAUACGGAGGGUGCGAGCGUUGUUCGGAAUUAUUGGGCGUAAAGCGCGUGUAGGCGGUUUGUUAAGUCUGAUGUGAAAGCCCCGGGCUAAACCUGGGAAGUGCAUUGGAUACUGGCAGACUUGAGUACGGGAGAGGAGAGUGAAAUUCCCAGUGUAGGAGUGAAAUCCGUAGAUACCGGGAGGAACACCAGUGGCGAAGGCGGCAUCCUGGCUCAUAACUGACGCUGAGUCGCGAAAGCGUGGGGAUCAAACAGGAUUAGAUACCCCUGUAGU
RNAcentral lists this ribosomal RNA (464 nucleotides) under uncultured Desulfuromonadaceae bacterium. Its description in RNAcentral is "partial 16S ribosomal RNA". It matches the Rfam family "Bacterial small subunit ribosomal RNA", at positions 338 to 794 of the family's 1533-position model. The record is from RNAcentral. Lineage: Bacteria; Pseudomonadati; Thermodesulfobacteriota; Desulfuromonadia; Desulfuromonadales; Desulfuromonadaceae.